CAAGAACUCUAAGCGGUGGAUCACUCGGCUCGUGURUCGAUGAAGAGCGCRSCCAACUGUGUGAAUUAAUGUGAACUGCAGACUGCCUUGAGCAUCGACCUCUUGAACGCAAAUUGCGGCAGCAGGCUCUGCCUGUUGCCACGUCUGGCCGAGAGUCGGCU
Molecule: ribosomal RNA, 161 nt
Filed under: Neoheterobothrium hirame
Lineage: Eukaryota; Metazoa; Platyhelminthes; Monogenea; Mazocraeidea; Diclidophoridae
Description: 5.8S rRNA
Rfam family: 5.8S ribosomal RNA
About the family: 5.8S ribosomal RNA (5.8S rRNA) is a component of the large subunit of the eukaryotic ribosome. It is transcribed by RNA polymerase I as part of the 45S precursor that also contains 18S and 28S rRNA.
Source: RNAcentral